RNAcentral lists this ribosomal RNA (253 nucleotides) under uncultured bacterium. RNAcentral's name for it is "partial 16S ribosomal RNA". It matches the Rfam family "Bacterial small subunit ribosomal RNA", at positions 524 to 776 of the family's 1533-position model. The record is from RNAcentral. RNAcentral also lists the same sequence under 2 other names.
UACGAAGGGGGCUAGCGUUGCUCGGAAUCACUGGGCGUAAAGGGCGCGUAGGCGGUCUUUUAAGUCGGGGGUGAAAGCCUGUGGCUCAACCACAGAAUUGCCUUCGAUACUGGGAGACUUGAGUUCGGAAGAGGUUGGUGGAACUGCGAGUGUAGAGGUGAAAUUCGUAGAUAUUCGCAAGAACACCGGUGGCGAAGGCGGCCAACUGGUCCGACACUGACGCUGAGGCGCGAAAGCGUGGGGAGCAAACAGG